GGAAUGAUUGGGCGUAAAGCGUCUGUAGGUGGCUUUUUAAGUUCGCCGUCAAAUCCCAGGGCUCAACCCUGGACAGGCGGUGGAAACUACCAAGCUGGAGUACGGUAGGGGCAGGGGGAAUUUCCGGUGGAGCGCUGAAAUGCGUAGAGAUCGGAAAGAACACCACUCACAUCUCUUUUAACCAAUUAAAGUGAAUGUCCUAUACUACUUCUCUCUCAUAAUUAAUACCGCU
Cajanus cajan (pigeon pea) is the source of this 232-nucleotide non-coding RNA. The record is from Rfam. NCBI's taxonomy places the organism in Eukaryota, Viridiplantae, Streptophyta, Magnoliopsida, Fabales, Fabaceae.